CGCAUAUUUUGCGAUGGCGGAGCUCGACCGCCGGUCGACGUGAUGGCGGGUUUCAUCGCAGCCCACACGGGGUCGAGCCGAUCCGACCCUGCGGUCCGGCCGCAUUC
Molecule: regulatory RNA element, 107 nt
Organism: Thioclava sp. SK-1
Lineage: Bacteria; Pseudomonadati; Pseudomonadota; Alphaproteobacteria; Rhodobacterales; Paracoccaceae
Rfam family: ALIL pseudoknot
Source: Rfam